This 308-nucleotide unclassified non-coding RNA is filed under the name Hevea brasiliensis (rubber tree). Lineage: Eukaryota; Viridiplantae; Streptophyta; Magnoliopsida; Malpighiales; Euphorbiaceae. The record is from RNAcentral.
GAUGGGGGCUGCACCUGCUUCUGGACCUUCUACUUCAUCAAGUGCUAAGAGUUCAAAGAAUAAGAAAAGCAGUGACCUCAAGUAUGACAUAUUUGGAUGGAUAAUUCUAGCUGUUGGCAUUGUUGCGUGGGUUGGAUUUGCGAAAUCUCAAAUGCCUGCUUCUCCUCCGCCACCUCCAAGAUAAGCAAACAAACUUCUUUUUUAGGAAGUGUCCCAUGGGAAUUUUGAGAUGGUCAAUGAACAUUUGAGAAACACAUGGCCUUUCAUCAUUAGUUGAGAUUUUUUUUUUUUUUUUUUUUUAUCUUUAG